AUUGAACGCUGGCGGCAGGCCUAACACAUGCAAGUCGAGCGGUAGAGAGGUGCUUGCAUCUCUUGAGAGCGGCGGACGGGUGAGUAAUGCCUAGGAAUCUGCCUAGUGGUGGGGGAUAACGUUCGGAAACGGACGCUAAUACCGCAUACGUCCUACGGGAGAAAGCGGGGGAUCUUCGGACCUCGCGCCAUUAGAUGAGCCUAGGUCGGAUUAGCUAGUUGGUGAGGUAAUGGCUCACCAAGGCGACGAUCCGUAACUGGUCUGAGAGGAUGAUCAGUCACACUGGAACUGAGACACGGUCCAGACUCCUACGGGAGGUAGCAGUGGGGAAUAUUGGACAAUGGGCGAAAG
RNAcentral lists this ribosomal RNA (351 nucleotides) under uncultured bacterium. RNAcentral's name for it is "bacterial SSU rRNA". It matches the Rfam family "Bacterial small subunit ribosomal RNA", at positions 30 to 381 of the family's 1533-position model. The record is from RNAcentral.